This 216-nucleotide long non-coding RNA is filed under the name Phoenix dactylifera (date palm). RNAcentral describes it as "long non-coding RNA (PDAC_LNC021842)". Lineage: Eukaryota; Viridiplantae; Streptophyta; Magnoliopsida; Arecales; Arecaceae. The record is from RNAcentral.
GUGUAAUGUCCGGGCCCAAUACAGACCGGGCCCAAUACUGUAGGGCCCAGUUGAAUAGUAUUGGGCCAGGGAUGGGUUAGCUGGCCCAAGAUGGCCAUAAUCUCCCGCCUGAGGGCUGAAAAGACAAGACCACCAGAUGGCCAACGGAGAAACCCCCACCGGCAUGCAAAACAGGAGCCCGCCACCUCCUCCCCCUCGGCAAAUGAGCGGUGAGCU